UGGGGAAUAUUGGACAAUGGGCGCAAGCCUGAUCCAGCCAUGCCGCGUGAGUGAUGAAGGCCCUAGGGUUGUAAAGCUCUUUCACCGGUGAAGAUAAUGACGGUAACCGGAGAAUAAGCCCCGGCUAACUUCGUGCCAGCAGCCGCGGUAAUACGAAGGGGGCUAGCGUUGUUCGGAUUUACUGGGCGUAAAGCGCACGUAGGCGGACUUUUAAGUCAGGGGUGAAAUCCCGGGGCUCAACCCCGGAACUGCCUUUGAUACUGGAAGUCUUGAGUAUGGUAGAGGUGAGUGGAAUUCCGAGUGUAGAGGUGAAAUUCGUAGAUAUUCGGAGGAACACCAGUGGCGAAGGCGGCUCACUGGACCAUUACUGACGCUGAGGUGCGAAAGCGUGGGGAGCAAACAGG
This 404-nucleotide ribosomal RNA is filed under the name Actinomycetes bacterium. Its description in RNAcentral is "Actinobacteria bacterium partial 16S ribosomal RNA". It matches the Rfam family "Bacterial small subunit ribosomal RNA", at positions 355 to 776 of the family's 1533-position model. Lineage: Bacteria; Bacillati; Actinomycetota; Actinomycetes. The record is from RNAcentral.